This 390-nucleotide ribosomal RNA is filed under the name uncultured bacterium. RNAcentral describes it as "bacterial SSU rRNA". It matches the Rfam family "Bacterial small subunit ribosomal RNA", at positions 455 to 842 of the family's 1533-position model. The record is from RNAcentral.
GUAACUGUUACCGGAUUGACGGUAUCUAACCAGAAAGCCACGGCUAACUACGUGCCAGCAGCCGCGGUAAUACGUAGGUGGCAAGCGUUGUCCGGAUUUAUUGGGCGUAAAGGGAGCGCAGGCGGUUACUUAAGUCUGAUGUGAAAGCCCACGGCUCAACCGGGGAGGGUCAUUGGAAACUGGGUCACUUGAGUGCAGAAGAGGAAAGUGGAAUUCCAUGUGUAGCGGUGAAAUGCGUAGAUAUAUGGAGGAACACCAGUGGCGAAGGCGGCUUUCUGGUCUGAAACUGACGCUGAGGCUCGAAAGCGUGGGGAGCAAACAGGAUUAGAUACCCUGGUAGUCCACGCCGUAAACGAUGAGUGCUAAGUGUUGGAGGGUUUCCACCCUUCA